RNAcentral lists this ribosomal RNA (253 nucleotides) under uncultured bacterium. RNAcentral's name for it is "partial 16S ribosomal RNA". It matches the Rfam family "Bacterial small subunit ribosomal RNA", at positions 524 to 776 of the family's 1533-position model. The record is from RNAcentral.
UACGGAGGGGGCUAGCGUUGUUCGGAAUUACUGGGCGUAAAGCGCGCGUAGGCGGACCUGCAAGUCGGGGGUGAAAGCCCGAGGCUCAACCUCGGAACUGCCUUCGAUACUGCGGGUCUCGAGUCCGGGAGAGGUGAGUGGAAUUCCUAGUGUAGAGGUGAAAUUCGUAGAUAUUCGCAAGAACACCAGUGGCGAAGGCGGCUCACUGGCCCGGAACUGACGCUGAGGUGCGAAAGCGUGGGGAGCAAACAGG